RNAcentral lists this long non-coding RNA (272 nucleotides) under Mytilus galloprovincialis (Mediterranean mussel). Lineage: Eukaryota; Metazoa; Mollusca; Bivalvia; Mytilida; Mytilidae. The record is from RNAcentral.
AUAUCCAAACUAUGAUAAAGUGCACUAUAUAUCUACACUAGAAGUAAAACAUAGAUUUUAUGAUGUCAAUUGGAUAAAGGAAGGAUUGAUUUCAAAAUAUUCAUAAAAAAUCAUGUGUAAAUUUUACUUCAAAAUUGCUAUGAGAAUAAACAGUGAUUAAGCAAUGUGAAUAGAAAAGGAAAAUUCAAUGUAAUUCAUGUUAUACAAGGAUACAGUGAUUAAAAUAAAUGUGUAGGAAAUCAUUCAUUAUUAAGGAGGUAGGAAGUAUACAU